Rhizopus microsporus is the source of this 136-nucleotide non-coding RNA. The record is from Rfam. NCBI's taxonomy places the organism in Eukaryota, Fungi, Mucoromycota, Mucoromycetes, Mucorales, Rhizopodaceae.
AUUCUUGUGCUAGGGCAAAACCACGAAAGUGAGGUUCAUACUGAUUCUGGUUUAUUGCUGGUUGAAAACUACUACCAAUGCCCGUCUGCAGUGCUCUCCGGAGCGCGGCAGCAAUUUUUGGAAGGUCCAGAAGGGC